This 552-nucleotide long non-coding RNA is filed under the name Ananas comosus (pineapple). Its description in RNAcentral is "long non-coding RNA (ACOM_LNC008539)". The record is from RNAcentral. Lineage: Eukaryota; Viridiplantae; Streptophyta; Magnoliopsida; Poales; Bromeliaceae.
AUCAUCCACCACUUUAAUGAGGAUACAUUAAGGGUGCGUUUGGUUCGCGCUAUUUUUUUAAAAUUCCUAAUAAUUCAAUAGGAAUAAAAAAAUAUGACAGUGUUUGGCUAAACGCACUAAGUAAUCUAGUUGGUAAUAUUAGAUUUACUUGGAAAUGAGAUUCAUCCCAAAGUACUAAUCUCAUUCCCUUGAGGGAGGGUCGGUAUCCUCAUAUUAAUGGAUUGGGGUAAUCAUAAUAUGUCUAAUCUCUUUCUUUCUCCCUACCCGCCGCCGGCUAGUUGGUAUUAUUUUUCUUUACACUCUAACCUCAUAUCUCUCUCUAAACUUUUUUUUUCUCUCUAAACUAAGCUCUCUUUCCCCCUCUUUUUCUAAAAUCUCAACUCUCUCACUCCCUCUAAUCUCGACUCUAUUUCUCUUCCUAUUUCUUUAAUUAUGCUCUCUCUCUCUGAUCUAUAUUCUCUCUCUCCCUUUUUCUAAAAAGAUGUUGAAAUUUUUGGUGGCUGUUGGUAGCCGAAUUUCUCGACCCUUGACUCAGUCAAAGAUCAUCCUCGG